This 155-nucleotide small nuclear RNA is filed under the name Diaphorina citri (Asian citrus psyllid). Its description in RNAcentral is "U1 spliceosomal RNA". It matches the Rfam family "U1 spliceosomal RNA", at positions 17 to 161 of the family's 166-position model. Rfam says of the family: U1 is a small nuclear RNA (snRNA) component of the spliceosome (involved in pre-mRNA splicing). Its 5' end forms complementary base pairs with the 5' splice junction, thus defining the 5' donor site of an intron. Lineage: Eukaryota; Metazoa; Arthropoda; Insecta; Hemiptera; Psyllidae. The record is from RNAcentral.
AUAAUAAUAAUAAUAAUAAUAAUAAUAAUAAUAAUAAUAAUAAUAAGGGUGAGGUCCUUCCAUUGCACUUAGGUUGGGUUGACCCCUGCGAGUAUUCCAAAUGUGAAUACCUCGGGCGCGUAAUUUUUGGUAGCGGGGAUUGCGUACGCGCAUAA